GUCGAACGCUCACCUUCGGGUGGGAGUGGCAGACGGGUGAGUAACACGUGGGAACGUACCCUUUGGUUCGGGACAACUCUGGGAAACUGGAGCUAAUACCGGAUACGCCCUUUUGGGGAAAGGUUUACUGCCGAAGGAUCGGCCCGCGUCUGAUUAGCUAGUUGGUGGGGUAACGGCCUACCAAGGCGACGAUCAGUAGCUGGUCUGAGAGGAUGAUCAGCCACACUGGGACUGAGACACGGCCCAGACUCCUACGGGAGGCAGCAGUGGGGAAUAUUGGACAAUGGGUGCAAGCCUGAUCCAGCCAUGCCGCGUGAGUGAUGAAGGCCUUAGGGUUGUAAAGCUCUUUUAUCCGGGACGAUAAUGACGGUACCGGAGGAAUAAGCCCCGGCUAACUUCGUGCCAGCAGCCGCGGUAAUACGAAUGGGGCUAGCGUUGCUCGGAAUCACUGGGCGUAAAGGGCGCGUAGGCGGCGUUUUAAGUCGGGGGUGAAAGCCUGUGGCUCAACCACAGAAUGGCCUUCGAUACUGGGACGCUUGAGUCUGGUAGAGGUUGGUGGAACUGCGAGUGUAGAGGUGA
Molecule: ribosomal RNA, 579 nt
Filed under: uncultured bacterium
Lineage: Bacteria
Description: bacterial SSU rRNA
Rfam family: Bacterial small subunit ribosomal RNA
Source: RNAcentral